UACGGAAGGCAGCAGUGGGGAAUAUUGCACAAUGGGCGCAAGCCUGAUGCAGCCAUGCCGCGUGUAUGAAGAAGGCCUUCGGGUUGUAAAGUACUUUCAGUCGUGAGGAAGGUGUUAAGGUUAAUAACCUUAGCAAUUGACGUUAGCGACAGAAGAAGCACCGGCUAACUCCGUGCCAGCAGCCGCGGUAAUACGGAGGGUGCGAGCGUUAAUCGGAAUUACUGGGCGUAAAGGGCACGCAGGCGGUUAAUUAAGUUGGAUGUGAAAUCCCCGGGCUUAACCUGGGAAUGGCAUUCAAGACUGGUUAGCUAGAGUCUUGUAGAGGGGGUAGAAUUCCAUGUGUAGCGGUGAAAUGCGUAGAGAUGUGUAGGAAUACCGGUGGCGAAGGCGGCCCCUGGACAAAGACUGACGCUCAUGUGCGAAAGCGUGGGGAGCAAACAGGGAUUAGAUACC
This 453-nucleotide ribosomal RNA is filed under the name uncultured bacterium. RNAcentral's name for it is "bacterial SSU rRNA". It matches the Rfam family "Bacterial small subunit ribosomal RNA", at positions 340 to 786 of the family's 1533-position model. The record is from RNAcentral.